This 2173-nucleotide long non-coding RNA is filed under the name Nicotiana tabacum (common tobacco). RNAcentral's name for it is "long non-coding RNA (NTAB_LNC018217)". Lineage: Eukaryota; Viridiplantae; Streptophyta; Magnoliopsida; Solanales; Solanaceae. The record is from RNAcentral.
AAAUAAUACAUUUCAGCUACUAGGUCGCUCUUUGGUAUGAACGAACCAAACAUUCACCUCUCAAUCAAAUUCUUCAAACAAUACCCUAGCAUUCUCAGCAAAAUUCUCAGUGAAUCGGCCCUCCUCCUCAGCGAAAAUUGCAGCCAAAUCAAAAUUCCUCAAAUCAAAAUAUGAAUUUCAUUUGUCAGGUAUGUUCAAAUCCCUAAUCUUUUUUAUUUUUUGGGAAUAAUUUCAUGGAGGAAGAGUCAAAGAAACUAAGGGGUUUUCUUUCUUGUACCAUUGUGAAAGCUCAAAAGGGAUUUCUUCUACCUUUUUUUUAACGAUUUGUUGUGUUUUCUCGGAGGCAUGUAGGUCAUGCAUUUACAUUAAAGUUGACAAAACAUCUUUAAUAUGGAGCUUAAUUCUUCUUCAUAAAAAAUGAAGCUUUACUUUUACUGUUUUAUAACAACUGUUAUUGCGUUCAAUCUCAAUCUCAAGCAAUAAGUUGGACUCAACUACAUGAAUUUUGUUAUCCUUUUUUAAACUUUCCCAAGAUUUCAGUACCUUGUUGAAGAAAUCCUCGAGAAUGGUUUUUCAGUUGAUUAGAGAAGAAGAUUUGGUUGAGUCAAAUCGAGUCAACAAUUUCUGCUUUUUUUUUUAUACUCAAGUGUGUGACUUGUGAAUUACUCUGUUUAGGCUAGUACCUAAUUGGUUGCAAUUUUCAAUUUGGUACAUUGUUGUGUACAUAGUCAAUAUGGCAUUUCAUAUGUUAGAAGUGAAGCAGUAAAAGGUAAUCAUGUUUGCUUUAUUGUUUCCAAGCUAAAGCAUUCUACAUUUAUAGGAUUACCUGUUAUUUCAUAGAUUAGUUUCAUCAAAAGGUAUUCAUAUUAUUAAUUCAAGUUCCUCAAAAGGAAAAAGGUCUACGCAGGAUCUUAAGAAUGGGGGUCUGGUUCUGAUAUAAAUCUUUCUUUACUUAAAGUUGUGGUUUGAGACAUUGGUAGUUAACUUGCUUGGUGAAGUUGUUGGGUGAACAACUUCUUACUCAAAAUGUUAUUUGGCUAAUUUAGCCAACUCUUAGAUCUGGUCAAAAUAAGAGGAAAAUAGAAUCAGAUGUGUUGCUAUUUUUCUUUGUCAUUCAGGAAAUUUGUUUAAGCGCAGUCUAGGUAAUUCCUAAGUGGAUAUUUGUCUUGAGUUGUAAUUUGCGCUGUAUGAUGUCAAACUAAAUUCAGACCGUGAGAGAUUUGCCGAACCACACAGAAUUGCAUGACACAUUUGUCACAUUGAAUUUUACUUCUUUAAUAAAGCAUGAUAUUAGAGUAGGGAUCUAAACUCUGUUCAGUGUAGGUAGGUAAAAGGAGUGAUGUGAAUGUUCUCUUGCCCUUAAAAAGAAUGUUUCCAUGAGGGGGUCUAGACUUUCACCUUCAUGUUUCUGAGUUCUUCUGGAAUAUUUCAUGGUCAAUACAAGAUUAUGCACUUUAUGUUUCAGUAUGUUUCUUAAUGCACGAUAAAAUUUAGCUUAAAUAUCUCACUUACUCUGUUGUUGAUUACUAGAUAAAGGUUUCAUAGCUGACAAGAUAGCAUAGUGUGAGUUAACAACUUGAGAUAAGAAUUAUUUGUUUUGUAUUCUGGUGAAGGAUAUACUAAUUGUUGGAAGGUACAUUAAUUAAUGAUAAUACUAGAAAGGGAAAUGUGAUCAAUGUUCCUUCGACUAGGUAUAACUGAAUAUGUUUUUGGAUCUUUUGGCUGUAUAGACCAUUUUAUGCUCAAAACUUAAUAUUACUCAUUCCACUAGGCUUACAGUGGAAAUUCAGUGUAUAUCCUGAAUUUCUUGAAAGACAUUAACUUGCCAUAGUUCUGUGUGGUUGAGUUGACCUUUCCUUUUUAUAUGCUUUCCUUUAGUACUUGAUUAAUGAUUAACCCUGUUUUAUAUGUAAGUGUACAUUACUGUUAUUCUUUUUUUUUUAAUAGCAAGGAUAUAGUACUUCAACAAUGGGGAAAUGAAGGUGCUCAGGGAGCAGGUUGAAGACAUUGUAGUAACUUGAAGAUAUUGAAAUAGUUUGAAGGCGUUGUCCUUUGCAUUUUUUCUUAAAGUAGGAGUUCAAACACAUUUGAUGUUCUCUUUUGCAAGUGUAUGUGCAAUGACAAAUGUAUUAUGGAGCAUUAUAUACUUUGUUCCAAACUAUUUGGUAAUGAA